This 1934-nucleotide long non-coding RNA is filed under the name Nicotiana tabacum (common tobacco). Its description in RNAcentral is "long non-coding RNA (NTAB_LNC003438)". Lineage: Eukaryota; Viridiplantae; Streptophyta; Magnoliopsida; Solanales; Solanaceae. The record is from RNAcentral.
AUAAAAUUAGGAUCAAAACAAGAAACACAUAUUAACUCAAGGACUAAAAUAAGAAUUUCUCAUUUUACAUUAUAUAUUAUACUUUAAUAGAAAAAUUAACCUAAAUAACUGCCCAAUCAAUAAUCAUGUCUCAGUCUUAGGACUUCUUUGUGCAUUAGAAGAUUCAAUUGAUACAGAGGCACCUAACUUUGAUUUCAUUAUUAAAAAAAAAAAGAUUCUUAACUAAGUGUAUCUAAACCAAAGCCAAGAAAUCAUCAUCAUACUUGAUAGGCUUUAAACAGUAGAAGAAAAUUUUUUGAGCUUCAGUGGAAAAUAUAAAAAUCACCAGCCUUGUUCGUUCCAUGAGUUUACCUACUACAUUAUCAUCCUCUUAUUGCAAGUAAGAGCAUUUGCAAAGGUUGGAGUCAACUGAAGGUACCUCCCAGGCUCCCACAUCUUCUCCCACCAAUAUGCCAGAGAUUGGAUGGUCUUAGAAGAUCGUAUGAGCGAGUAGACGACGUGCUCCAGUUGCCAUUCAGCCAAUAAGUUCUCUGCCAUGAAAAGCAUACCAUGUGAGUGGAACAAGUCUCUAACAGGUCUCUCAACUUUCUGCUAUUUCGUUACAGUUCUCAUCUAUUUAAGUUUUAAUUAAUAGUCUAUUGAGGCUAACAUUUAAUGUAGGUGGCUCUUAUUAGUUGCCAAUACCAGCAGGAUCAAUAAUUGUGUACUAAACAAAGAGGCAAGCGCAUUAAAAUGCAUAGGACAAAUACCAUAUGUUUAACUCAAAUGAAUAUUCUACUUAAUUCUUUUUGAUUUGCCAUAAACCAAUUAAGUUUAACGGGGUUAAAAUUAGUCACUGGCCUUAUUAGCCUCAGUAUUAGGCUUGGGUAGACUCUAUUCUGUAGUGUCACGACUCAACUAACGGUUGUGCACAUAGGAGGGCUUCACCCAUCAUAGCAAGCCUUUGAAUCUUUAAAAAUUUCGACCUUGCCUAUAACUGAAACUAAUUCCAUUUUUGUACCUCUCUCAUAUCAUCCAAACUACAUCACUCAACAAUCCCAAGAGUAACAUCAUUCAUUUCACGUGUAAUAAUCAAGAUGCUAGACUAGCAAAAUAUAUAUAUCAGUGUCUCUCUCUUUUUCCCUUUUAUUUUUUUAACACAGUCUACCGCAUUACAAAGUUACAACCACCCAUAAGGUUCGCGGAUCAAUACAACUAAGAGUUUUCAAUAACUGUGUAACUGAAACAUAACAACAGAAAAAGAGGAAGUGGAACCAGCAUCACCCAUGGAAGGAAACGUGCGGCUCAGCACUGAAGUACACUAGCUCAAGUCUCGGUAUAGGAAUGAACACUUGUAUCUGUAGACAUAAAAGUAAGGAAUGAGUUCACUGACUCAACAAGUGAUAACUAAUUCAUAACGGGGUAAGAGUUUCAGAAAACACUAUAAUAUGCAAUAUAGGUAACACAAUAUUCUUUAAUAAACACAUUGCAGUGGCAAACUUUCAGUUUGCUAAUUGUGUCUGAUAUCUCUGUUCAAAAUACUACUUGUAACAAUUGAAACCACUCAACCCCCCCCCCCCCCCCCGCCAAAACAAAAACAAAAAUAUAAAAUAAAGGACUAUUUAAAAAGAAAACCUUCAAACCAACAUUCUAGAAUUUAAAAGACAAAUCUAGUCCACUUAUAAAGAUUAAGAAAGAGAAAACGGCCAAAAUUAUUCUUGAAUUCGGUCCCAAAAAAAGUCUGUACCGCUAGCCCAUUGGAACACUUAUGCCCCUCAAAACUAACGGACUCACAUCAGCCUUUUCCUUCUCUUGCCCAUAUCUAUGAAAAUUCAAUCUAAGAAAGAAUAAAGAUUCUAAUCAAUCUCACCCUUUACAUCUUCACACAGAAUACUCUUCAUCAUCAUAUCCAAAUCAUUUUCUUUCCUGUACUCGCAGCCAAGUUUUCCAUCAGU